UACAGAGGUCCCAAGCGUUGUUCGGAUUCAUUGGGCGUAAAGGGUGCGUAGGUGGCGCUGUAAGUCGGGUGUGAAAUUUCGGAGCUUAACUCCGAAACUGCAUUCGAUACUGCGGUGCUUGAGGACUGGAGAGGAGACUGGAAUUCAUGGUGUAGCAGUGAAAUGCGUAGAGAUCAUGAGGAAGACCAGUGGCGAAGGCGGGUCUCUGGGCAACAACUGACGCUGAGGAGCGAAAGCGUGGGGAGCAAACGGG
RNAcentral lists this ribosomal RNA (253 nucleotides) under uncultured bacterium. RNAcentral describes it as "partial 16S ribosomal RNA". It matches the Rfam family "Bacterial small subunit ribosomal RNA", at positions 524 to 776 of the family's 1533-position model. The record is from RNAcentral.